This 380-nucleotide ribosomal RNA is filed under the name uncultured eukaryote. Its description in RNAcentral is "partial 18S ribosomal RNA". It matches the Rfam family "Eukaryotic small subunit ribosomal RNA", at positions 592 to 976 of the family's 1831-position model. The record is from RNAcentral.
CAAUAGCGUAUAUUAAAGUUGUUGCAGUUAAAAAGCUCGUAGUUGGAUUUCUGCUGAGGACGAUCGGUCCGCCCACUGGGUGAGUAUCUGGCUCGGCCUUGGCAUCUUCUUGGAGAACGUUGCUGCACUUGACUGUGUGGCGCGGUAUCCAGGACUUUUACUUUGAGGAAAUUAGAGUGUUUCAAGCAGGCGCACGCCUUGAAUACAUUAGCAUGGAAUAAUGAGAUAGGACCUUGGUUCUAUUUUGUUGGUUUCUAGAGCUGAGGUAAUGAUUAAUAGGGAUAGUUGGGGGCAUUCGUAUUUAACUGUCAGAGGUGAAAUUCUUGGAUUUGUUAAAGAUGGACUACUGCGAAAGCAUUUGCCAAGGGUGUUUUCAUUGA